Molecule: ribosomal RNA, 1400 nt
Filed under: Klebsiella sp. A8-KP4
Lineage: Bacteria; Pseudomonadati; Pseudomonadota; Gammaproteobacteria; Enterobacterales; Enterobacteriaceae
Description: bacterial SSU rRNA
Rfam family: Bacterial small subunit ribosomal RNA
Source: RNAcentral
GGGGGUACAGGCUACACAUGCAAGUCGAGCGGUAGCACAGAGAGCUUGCUCUCGGGUGACGAGCGGCGGACGGGUGAGUAAUGUCUGGGAAACUGCCUGAUGGAGGGGGAUAACUACUGGAAACGGUAGCUAAUACCGCAUAACGUCGCAAGACCAAAGUGGGGGACCUUCGGGCCUCAUGCCAUCAGAUGUGCCCAGAUGGGAUUAGCUAGUAGGUGGGGUAACGGCUCACCUAGGCGACGAUCCCUAGCUGGUCUGAGAGGAUGACCAGCCACACUGGAACUGAGACACGGUCCAGACUCCUACGGGAGGCAGCAGUGGGGAAUAUUGCACAAUGGGCGCAAGCCUGAUGCAGCCAUGCCGCGUGUGUGAAGAAGGCCUUCGGGUUGUAAAGCACUUUCAGCGGGGAGGAAGGCGUUAAGGUUAAUAACCUUGGCGAUUGACGUUACCCGCAGAAGAAGCACCGGCUAACUCCGUGCCAGCAGCCGCGGUAAUACGGAGGGUGCAAGCGUUAAUCGGAAUUACUGGGCGUAAAGCGCACGCAGGCGGUCUGUCAAGUCGGAUGUGAAAUCCCCGGGCUCAACCUGGGAACUGCAUUCGAAACUGGCAGGCUAGAGUCUUGUAGAGGGGGGUAGAAUUCCAGGUGUAGCGGUGAAAUGCGUAGAGAUCUGGAGGAAUACCGGUGGCGAAGGCGGCCCCCUGGACAAAGACUGACGCUCAGGUGCGAAAGCGUGGGGAGCAAACAGGAUUAGAUACCCUGGUAGUCCACGCCGUAAACGAUGUCGAUUUGGAGGUUGUGCCCUUGAGGCGUGGCUUCCGGAGCUAACGCGUUAAAUCGACCGCCUGGGGAGUACGGCCGCAAGGUUAAAACUCAAAUGAAUUGACGGGGGCCCGCACAAGCGGUGGAGCAUGUGGUUUAAUUCGAUGCAACGCGAAGAACCUUACCUGGUCUUGACAUCCACAGAACUUUCCAGAGAUGGAUUGGUGCCUUCGGGAACUGUGAGACAGGUGCUGCAUGGCUGUCGUCAGCUCGUGUUGUGAAAUGUUGGGUUAAGUCCCGCAACGAGCGCAACCCUUAUCCUUUGUUGCCACCGGUUAGGCCGGGAAUUCAAAGGAAACUGCCCGUGAUAAACUUGAGGAAAGGUGGGGGAUGAAAGCCAAGCAAUCAUGGGCCCUUUCAACAAGGGGUACCCCCUGGUUCAAUGGGUUUUCCAAAGAAAAGGACCCCCCCGAAGCAACGGACCCCUAAAAAAUGUUUUAGCCCCGGAUUGGAGUUGGACUCGACUCCCUCGAACCGGAACCCUUGUAUCUUAAUACAAUUGUACGGGGAAAAAUUCCCGGCUUGUCACCCCCGCCCCCCACCCGAAGGGUUCGAAAAAAAGGAGUAACUCCGGGGUACU